Molecule: ribosomal RNA, 253 nt
Filed under: uncultured bacterium
Lineage: Bacteria
Description: partial 16S ribosomal RNA
Rfam family: Bacterial small subunit ribosomal RNA
Source: RNAcentral
UACAGAGGGUGCAAGCGUUAAUCGGAAUAACUGGGCGUAAAGGGCGCGUAGGUGGCGUGAUAAGUUUUAGGCGAAAGACUGGGGCUUAACCCUGGGGAGACCUAGAAAACUGUUGUGCUAGAGUUCGGGAGAGGGGAGCGGAAUUUCCGGUGUAGCGGUGAAAUGCGUAGAUAUCGGAAGGAACAUCAGUGGCGAAGGCGGCUCCCUGGCCUAGAACUGACGCUGAGGCGCGAAAGCGUGGGGAGCAAACAGG